CGGAUUGUUCUUAUUUUCCUCAAUUAAGUUGGAAAAAUAGGAUGAUCGAGCAGCAGUGAGGGCUCUUCGAUACUGCACGGUACUCUCUUUCCAAGCUAGUCGGAAGACUUCCAGUUUGGUGUGGCGCCAUUUCCGUUCCAAUUUUCUGGAAGCUUGCUUCAGAGCUCGUGUAUUUCUGUAUACCAGGGAGCUAGUUUCUUAUGACAAAUGUUUUUCGUUUUUAGGGGUGCAACUGCAUCUAGGGUAUUGCGCAAGGUUAAAUUGAGUUCCUCGGUUAGGUGGUUAACUGAUUUUUGUCCUCUGACGUCCUUGGGUAGGCAGAGGCAGUCUGGAAGGACAUCAAGGAAUCUUUGGGUUGUCUGAGAAUUUAUAGCACGACUUUUAAUGCUCCUUGGUUGGGGUCUGAGCAGAUUAUUUGUUGCGAUUGCAUACGUAAUAAAAUGGUGGUCCGAUAGUCC
Molecule: long non-coding RNA, 458 nt
Filed under: Salmo salar (Atlantic salmon)
Lineage: Eukaryota; Metazoa; Chordata; Actinopteri; Salmoniformes; Salmonidae
Description: lncRNA (ENSSSAG00000121269.1)
Source: RNAcentral